Molecule: ribosomal RNA, 457 nt
Filed under: Pycnocaris chagoae
Lineage: Eukaryota; Metazoa; Arthropoda; Malacostraca; Decapoda; Palaemonidae
Description: partial large subunit ribosomal RNA
Rfam family: Bacterial large subunit ribosomal RNA
Source: RNAcentral
AGGGCCGCGGUAACUUGACCGUGCGAAGGUAGCAUAAUCAUUAGUCUUUUAAUUGGAGGCUUGAAUGAAUGGUCGGAUGAGGGACGUUCUGUCUUUCUUUUAAAUUGUGAAUUUAACUUUUAAGUGAAAAGGCUUAAAUUUCUUAGUGGGACGAUAAGACCCUAUAAAACUUAAUUUAGUGGGGAAUUGGUGGUAAAUUUAGUUUAAAGUUAUUCUUUCUUUAUUGAAUUUUGUUGGGGAGACAUUAAUAUAAUUGUAACUGUUGUUAAAAUUUAAUAAUUAUAGUUAGUUUUUGAUCCUUUGGUAGAGAUUAUAAGACUAAGUUACUUUAGGGAUAACAGCGUAAUUUUCUUUGAGAGUUCUUAUCGACAAGAUUAGUUGCGACCUCGAUGUUGAAUUAAAAUUUCAGGAAGGUGUAGUCUUUUUCCUAGUAGGUCUGUUCGACCUUUAAAAUUUU